RNAcentral lists this ribosomal RNA (467 nucleotides) under uncultured bacterium. Its description in RNAcentral is "partial 16S ribosomal RNA". It matches the Rfam family "Bacterial small subunit ribosomal RNA", at positions 28 to 507 of the family's 1533-position model. The record is from RNAcentral.
GACGAACGCUGGCGGCGUGCUUAACACAUGCAAGUCGAACGGAAAGGCCCUGCUUUUGUGGGGUGCUCGAGUGGCGAACGGGUGAGUAACACGUGAGUAACCUGCCCUUGACUUUGGGAUAACUUCAGGAAACUGGGGCUAAUACCGGAUAGGAGCUCCUGCUGCAUGGUGGGGGUUGGAAGGUUCGGCGGUUGGGGAUGGACUCGCAGCUUAUCAGCUUGUUGGUGGGGUAGUGGCUUACCAAGGCUUUGACGGGUAGCCGGCCUGAGAGGGUGACCGGCCACAUUGGGACUGAGAUACGGCCCAGACUCCUACGGGAGGCAGCAGUGGGGAAUAUUGCACAAUGGGCGGAAGCCUGAUGCAGCAACGCCGCGUGCGGGAUGACGGCCUUCGGGUUGUAAACCGCUUUCGCCUGUGACGAAGCGUGAGUGACGGUAAUGGGUAAAGAAGCACCGGCUAACUACGUG